CCGAGUUGUAAUUUGUAGAGGAUGCUUCUGGGCAGCGGCCGGUCUAAGUUCCUUGGAACAGGACGUCAUAGAGGGUGAGAAUCCCGUAUGCGACCGGUUGGCACCCGUCACGUAGCUCCUUCGACGAGUCGAGUUGUUUGGGAAUGCAGCUCUAAAUGGGAGGUAAAUGCCUUCUAAAGCUAAAUACCGGCCAGAGACCGAUAGCGCACAAGUAGAGUGAUCGAAAGAUGAAAAGCACUUUGGAAAGAGAGUUAAAAAGCACGUGAAAUUGUUGAAAGGGAAGCGCAUGCAACCAGACUUGUCGGCGUUGUUCCGCCGGUCUUCUGACCGGUCUACUCGCCGCCGACAGGCCAGCAUCAUCUGGGAGCGCCGGAUAA
Molecule: ribosomal RNA, 377 nt
Filed under: Dothideomycetes sp. 1894 RO-2014
Lineage: Eukaryota; Fungi; Ascomycota; Dothideomycetes
Description: LSU rRNA
Rfam family: Eukaryotic large subunit ribosomal RNA
Source: RNAcentral